AGGGGUAUAGCCAAGCGGUAAGGCAUCAGACUUUGACUCUGACAUCUCGUAGGUUCAAAUCCUGCUACCCCUGCCA
This 76-nucleotide transfer RNA is filed under the name Corallococcus sp. CAG:1435. RNAcentral describes it as "transfer RNA-Gln(TTG)". It matches the Rfam family "tRNA". From Rfam's summary of the family: Transfer RNA (tRNA) molecules are approximately 80 nucleotides in length. The record is from RNAcentral. RNAcentral also lists the same sequence under 3 other names. Lineage: Bacteria; Pseudomonadati; Myxococcota; Myxococcia; Myxococcales; Myxococcaceae.